This 213-nucleotide unclassified non-coding RNA is filed under the name Hevea brasiliensis (rubber tree). The record is from RNAcentral. Lineage: Eukaryota; Viridiplantae; Streptophyta; Magnoliopsida; Malpighiales; Euphorbiaceae.
AAAUAUAAAUAUUUUAUUCUAACCCCUGAUGUUGUAGGCUUUGCGUAGAUACCCUCAUCGUCUUCAAACGCCCCAUACGCGUUCCCAAUGCCAGAAUUGGUGUGAGACAGGUCAACCUUUCUCCUUCACCCAACCGUCGCAGUGACCUCCAGUAAAUUUGCUUUACGUAGGUACUUUCGUUUCACAGAUAUUCGACUGUUGCUCGGGUCUGCA